GUAAUGCCAUGAUCAUGGUAAUCCUUGUAAUUAGAAUUGUACAAUUAGUUAUCUGAUUGCUCUCUUUUUCAUCCGUGUGAUAUGAGGAAUUGUUAAUGACAUCUGGCCUUCUGCACACUGGAGCUGCAUAUCAUUUUGUAUAGUUACCCUUCAGGCUGAUGAUACAUUCACAAAGGAGGCGGAAGGAGCAUACACAGAGGAUGAGAGGUCUUGAAGGGUUUCCAGCUGAGACCAGUCUGCAAAGCUGCCUGCUUAAGCUUCUUAAACUUAUCUGGAGGGAAUGGAGGAGACGACUCCCAGAACAGAGGCCAUUGCUGAUGAGUCCUGGAGACAAGGCCCAAACUGGAGGCCACCAUGAGGGAGGCGAGUCCGGGGGGGGAAGUCCCGGAGCAGAGACCGGCACAAGAGGCGAGUCCGGGGGACAAGUCCUGGACCAGAGGCCAGCACAGGGGAGUGGAGGUCCUCGCGGAUUGGAGACAAGGCCUCGAAGUUUGAAGCCAGGCCUGGUCUGGGGACUUGGCCCAGUGCAGUCUGGAGGCUAAGUGAAAAGAAUUGUAAUUCGAGUACUUUAUAAAAACUUUUUAUUCUUAUGCUGGACUUUUAUUUAUUGUUUUUUUUUCAAUUCUGUAGCAAAAAAUUAAGAAUGUGUACCCAGGUAUCCUGUAUCUAAGAUGGCGCCAUAAGUGGCAACAUUGCAAACUUUUCA
Non-coding RNA from Chiloscyllium plagiosum (whitespotted bambooshark), 706 nucleotides. Lineage: Eukaryota; Metazoa; Chordata; Chondrichthyes; Orectolobiformes; Hemiscylliidae. The record is from RefSeq and is a predicted model, not a curated record.